GACGAACGCUGGCGGCGUGCUUAACACAUGCAAGUCGAACGGAAAGGCCCUUCUUUUGUGGGGUGCUCGAGUGGCGAACGGGUGAGUAACACGUGAGUAACCUGCCCUUGACUUUGGGAUAACUUCAGUAAACUGGGGCUAAUACCGGAUAUGAGCUCCUGCUGCAUGGUGGGGGUUGGAAGGUUUCGGCGGUUGGGGAUGGACUCGCGGCUUAUCAGCUUGUUGGUGGGGUAGUGGCUUACCAAGGCUUUGACGGGUAGCCGGCCUGAGAGGGUGACCGGCCACAUUGGGACUGAGAUACGGCCCAGACUCCUACGGGAGGCAGCAGUGGGGAAUAUUGCACAAUGGGCGGAAGCCUGAUGCAGCAACGCCGCGUGCGGGAUGACGGCCUUCGGGUUGUAAACCGCUUUCGCCUGUGACGAAGCGUGAGUGACGGUAAUGGGUAAAGAAGCACCGGCUAACUACGUG
Molecule: ribosomal RNA, 468 nt
Filed under: uncultured bacterium
Lineage: Bacteria
Description: partial 16S ribosomal RNA
Rfam family: Bacterial small subunit ribosomal RNA
Source: RNAcentral